AUAUAUACACACACAUAUAUAUAUAUAUAUAUGCGCACACAUACAUAUAUCCACACUUAUGUGUGUAUAAAGACAAGGUACUGCAACAGUUACAAUCUAAACACUGUGUUUUCAUCAUCUUUUUAGAAGAUGCUUUUUAGAAGCAAAGCCCACCUUCUUGGCUCCAAGCAGGCCAGGUAGCACAGUUCCACUGGGGCAGCUCCAAGGAAAACUUGCUAAAUAGUGAGAAAGAGAUUGUAGUGGAACCUUUCUGAGGACAUUGCUGUGGACUCUACAUGGACCUUGUGGCCUCCUUCUCAUUGACAUACAUAUUGUCUCCAUGCAGAACCAGCCGUAUCAUCCAGAAGAUUCUUCCUGUCAUGUCUGCAAUGGCAAACGAAUUUUCAAAUCAACAACAUGCAAGAAAGUCUGUUAGGAAACGACAAAAAGGUCUAUGUCAGAUCCUAAUUGGAAGAAUCAGGCUUCUCUUUUCAUGUUUAUCUAGGAAUAACAGCGCAGUGGUGGAUCAGUCUCCUUUAGACCCAUCCCUGGAAGCAGUUUCCUCCCCAAAGCAUAAACAGCACUUCAAAGGGGCAGCUGACCCAGUCCAUACGUCUGACCAUGCAGAUCUGCUGGGGGAGGCCAAGAAGACUCUGCAGACAGAGGAUGUGUGUUAUCCCCUGGCAACACUACCACCAUCUAGUGGAUUGGAUUCUCCUAGUGUUCAGUUCAGAGAAUUGGAUGCUCACCAGUCAGCAGGCAGGGUGCCAAAGGGAGAAGCUCAGGGCGAACUCAACCAAAGGGAGACUUUGCUGACAGAAGAUUUGGAUGAGAAAUUCAUGCAGCUGGAGAAGGAAAAAAGUCAACAGAUUCUGAUGAGUAUUGAGCAGAGCUUGUUGCAGAAUCCUCCAAUGGUUAGGCUGGAAGAAAAUGUGAUGAAACUUAAGAAAGAGCUCAGUGAAAUGGAAAUGGCAAAUCAAAUCAUGAAAACUCAGCUGAGGAAAGUCAUCCACAUCCAUGUAAGUUGAGAUAAGUGAGGUUUCUUCAGAAACUCAACCAGGGGUUUUGUUUGUCAGUAUUGUGGGAAGCUCCUCUAUUUCAUUUAAACAAACAGGUGCCCUUUUUGUUCUUCACUUAUGGGAAGUUCACUUAGGUCGCACGGAAAAAAAUUGUUUUUACACGUAAUUAGGGGAAAAUAAAAUAUUUAAAAAAGAUAUUUAAGUUUUGUUA
Molecule: long non-coding RNA, 1209 nt
Filed under: Phascolarctos cinereus (koala)
Lineage: Eukaryota; Metazoa; Chordata; Mammalia; Diprotodontia; Phascolarctidae
Description: lncRNA (ENSPCIG00000034648.1)
Source: RNAcentral